GUGCUUAUUUUCUCUCUUUAUAUCUUUUUUGGUAAAAUUUUUUUUUUACCCACUUUCUGAUCAGAUUGUAGUUUUUUUUCUUGAGUUUGAGAGUUCUUUUUACACUCAAGAUACUGCUCCUUUAUUAAACCACUGAGCCACCAGGGCUGCCCAUUUUUCAAAAUUCUUUAAGCUAUUCUAGUUUCUUUGCCUUCCACAUAAAUUUUAGGAUACUGUUUGCAAAUAUUGUUUCCCAGUAGCUUUUCUUUUCACACUCUUCACAUGGGCUUAUUAGGAGCCUAAUAUUUAAAUUUUAAUGAGGUCCAAAUUCUUGAUUUUCCCUCUUAUGGAUCAUUUAGCAUCCAAUUCAAGAACUCUUUGGGGUGCCUGGCUGGCUGUAAAUUUGAGCCCCGUGUUGGAUGUAGAGAUUACUUAACAAUAAAAAUCUUUAGGGGCACCUGGGUGCCUCAAUUAAGCAUCUGGUUCAGGUCAUGAUCUCAGAGUCCUGGGAUUGAGCCCCACAUUGGGCUCCCUGCUCAGUGGGGAGUCUGCUUCUCCCUUUCCCUCUGUACCGUAUGUGCACAUGCUCUCUCUCUCUCAAAUAGAUAAACAGAAUCUUAAAAAACAAAACAAAACAAAACAAAACUAAGACGCUUGUUUAAAAAAAUCUUUAAGGGAUGCCUGGCUGGCUCAGCCGUUGAGCACCUGCCUUCGGCCCAGUGCAUGAUCCUGGGGUCCUGGGAUCGAGUCUCACAUUGGGCUCCCCGCAGGGAGCCUGCUUCUCCCUCUGCCUAUGUCUCUGCCUCUCUCUCUCUCUGUGUCUCUCAUGAAUAAAUAAAUAAAAUCUUUAGCAAAAAAAAAAACAAAAACAAAAACAAAAAAAACUCUUUGUUUCUUCAUAGAUCUUGAAAAUGUUCUAUUUUUAUAAAACAGUUUUAUAGUUUUAGUUUAUUUUUAGGUCCUUGGCCAUUCUGAGUUAAUUUUUGUUGUAGGUUAAGUCUCAUUUUGUGCCUAUGGCUAUCCAAUUACUCUAGCAUUUGUUGAAAAGGCUAUCUUUCCUCCACUGAAUAGCUUUGGUAACUUUGUCCAAAAAACCAAGUUUGGGCAUAUUUGUGAGCCUGUUCCUGGGAUCUAUAUUCUGUUCCAUUGAUCUAUGUGUCUAUCAUUCCACCUAUAGAGUAUACACAGCAUUGAUUAUUGUAGCUAUAUAAUAAAUAUAAAAAUUGUGUAGACUAAUUUCUCACACUUUUUUCUUUUUCAAAAAAAUUCUUUUUUAAGAUUUUUAUUUAUUUAUGAGAGACAGAGAGGCAGAGACAUAGGCAGAGGGAGGAGAAGCAGGCUCUAUGCAGGGAGCCCGACGUGGGACUCGAUCCUGGGUCUCCAAGAUCAGGCCUUGGGCUGAAGGUGGCACUAAACCACUGAGCCACCAGGGCUGCCCAUUUUUCAAAAUUCUUUAAGCUAUUCUAGUUUCUUUGCCUUCCACAUAAAUUUUAGGAAAAUCUUGUAAAUGUUUACCAAAAAUUUUGGGAUUUUGAUAGUAAUUACAUUAAACCUGCAUAUCAAUUUGGGGAAGAAGAUUCAAGUUCUCUCACAAAGCUGUGUUCACCAAGACAUUUUGGUACUGGCACAAAAACAGACACAUAGAUCAAUAGAACAGAAUAGAGAACCCAGAAAUGGACUCACAACUCUAUGGCCAACUAAUCUUUGACAAAGCGGGAAAGAAUAUCCAAUGGAUAAAAGACAGUGUCUUCAAUAAAUGGUGUUGGGAAAAUUGGACAGCCACAAGCAGAAGAAUGAAACUGGACCAUUUCCUUAUACCAUACAAAAAAAAAAAUAGACUAAAAAUGGAUAAAAAAAACCUAAAUGUGAGAUAGGAAUCCAUCAAAAUCCUAGAGAAGAACACAGGCAGCAAUCUCUGUGGCCUUGGCUGCAGCAACUUCUUGCUAGACAGGUCUUCAAACACAAGAGAAACAAAGGCAAAAAUGAACUAUUGGGACCUCAUCAAGAGAAAAAGCUUUUGCACAGCAAAGGAAACAGUAAAAAAAACCCCAAAAGACAACCGAUAGAAUGGGAGAAGAUAUCUGCAAAUGUCUUAUCAGAUACCGGGCUGGUAUCUAAAAUCUCUAAAGAAUUUACCAAACUCAAAAAAAAAAAAAAAAAAAAAAAAAAAAAAAG
This 2154-nucleotide long non-coding RNA is filed under the name Canis lupus familiaris (dog). RNAcentral describes it as "lncRNA (ENSCAFG00845024621.1)". The record is from RNAcentral. Lineage: Eukaryota; Metazoa; Chordata; Mammalia; Carnivora; Canidae.